Calidris pugnax (ruff) is the source of this 537-nucleotide long non-coding RNA. RefSeq lists it as uncharacterized. The record is from RefSeq and is a predicted model, not a curated record. Lineage: Eukaryota; Metazoa; Chordata; Aves; Charadriiformes; Scolopacidae. The transcript is spliced from 2 exons.
AUUAUGUCGAGUGCCAACUUUAUUCAAAGCAAAGGAAAUGGAUGUUAGAAAAACAAAAAAAGAUAAACCAAGCGUGAUUUUUUUCCCCUUUACCCGAGGGAAGAGCUGCAGGACUGACUCACCAGGUGGAACCGGGGACACGGGGAAGGCAGGGAAUGAUUGAAUUGACUCAUUUCUGGCAGAAAUGUCAUCACCAUUGCAGAUACAAAGCAGAUUUGCCACAUUUAACAUUUGAAAACGAUGUUUCUGAAUAAAGUUAACUGCCUAAUGUUAUGACUUCCACUAAAUAUGUGAAUUUGCUGCUUCUAAGAGGCAAUGUGAAAGAGGAAGUAUUACUUUUGUGUACAAAGUUAUUUAUUUAUUAGAAAAUUUGGUACAAUGUUGUACAUUGAAAAACAUGUAAGAUAUUGAAGUGUCUAACAAACGGCAUUGAAGUGUCUUUAAUAAAGGUUCAUUUAUAAUAUUACAACGGUUUUGUUGAGAGUGAGCUUUUGGGAGUUUCAGUUGAAAAUUAAAUAAAAUUCUAAUCCAUUGCUA